Molecule: ribosomal RNA, 521 nt
Filed under: uncultured soil bacterium
Lineage: Bacteria
Description: bacterial SSU rRNA
Rfam family: Bacterial small subunit ribosomal RNA
Source: RNAcentral
UAGAGUUUGAUCCUGGCUCAGGAUGAACGCUAGCGGCAGGCCUAAUACAUGCAAGUCGAACGAUACCAGGGAGCUUGCUCUCUGGGAAAGUGGCGCACGGGUGCGUAACGCGUAUGCAACCUACCUUUAUCAGGGGGAUAGCCUCUCGAGAGAGAGAUUAACACCGCAUAAAAUCAAAGAACGGCAUCGUUCAAUGAUCAAAUAUUUAUAGGAUAAAGAUGGGCAUGCGUGACAUUAGCUAGUUGGUGAGGUAACGGCUCACCAAGGCGACGAUGUCUAGGGGAUCUGAGAGGAUGACCCCCCACUGGUACUGAGACACGGACCAGACUCCUACGGGAGGCAGCAGUAAGGAAUAUUGGUCAAUGGAGGCAACUCUGAACCAGCCAUGCCGCGUGCAGGAAGACGGCCCUAUGGGUUGUAAACUGCUCUUAUUCGGGAAUAAACCUCUUUACGUGUAGAGAGUUGAAUGUACCGAAAGAAUAAGGAUCGGCUAACUCCGUGCCAGCAGCCGCGGUAAUACA